Molecule: ribosomal RNA, 758 nt
Filed under: Gigaspora margarita
Lineage: Eukaryota; Fungi; Glomeromycota; Glomeromycetes; Diversisporales; Gigasporaceae
Description: SSU rRNA
Rfam family: Eukaryotic small subunit ribosomal RNA
Source: RNAcentral
CUUACGGGUACGGGGAUUAGGGUUCGAUUCCGGAGAGGGAGCCUGAGAAACGGCUACCACAUCCAAGGAAGGCAGCAGGCGCGCAAAUUACCCAAUCCCGAUACGGGGAGGUAGUGACAAUAAAUAACAAUACAGGGCUCUUAUGGGUCUUGUAAUUGGAAUGAGUACAAUUUAAAUCCCUUAACGAGGAACAAUUGGAGGGCAAGUCUGGUGCCAGCAGCCGCGGUAAUUCCAGCUCCAAUAGCGUAUAUUAAAGUUGUUGCAGUUAAAAAGCUCGUAGUUGAAUUUCGGGGUUCUACCGUUGGUCGGGCAAUAGUCUGUACUGGCGUGUGGAAUUUCUACCUUCUGGGGAACCRUCAUGUUAUUUAUUUAGCGUGGUGGGAAACCAGGACCUUUACCUUGAAAAAAUUAGAGUGUUCAAAGCAGGCUUACGUCUGAAUACAUUAGCAUGGAAUAAUAAAAUAGGACGGUGGUCCUGUUUUGUUGGUUUCUGAAUCACCGUAAUGAUUAAUAGGGAUAGUUGGGGGCAUUAGUAUUCAAUUGUCAGAGGUGAAAUUCUUGGAUUUAUUGAAGACUAACUUCUGCGAAAGCAUUUGCCAAGGAUGUUUUCAUUAAUCAAGAACGAAAGUUAGGGGAUCGAAGACGAUCAGAUACCGUCGUAGUCUUAACCAUAAACUAUGCCGACUAGGGAUCGGACGAUGUUAAUUUUUCUUGACUCGUUCGGCGCCUUACGGGAAACCAAAUUUUUNKGGGNUUNC